Chinchilla lanigera (long-tailed chinchilla) is the source of this 225-nucleotide long non-coding RNA. RefSeq lists it as uncharacterized. Lineage: Eukaryota; Metazoa; Chordata; Mammalia; Rodentia; Chinchillidae. The transcript is spliced from 2 exons. The record is from RefSeq and is a predicted model, not a curated record.
CUAGACGUGGCCGUUAGGGAGAGUGGGUGGUGUUCGUUUGGGGACUGAGGCGGGUAAACGGCUGCACACCCGUCCUCAGGGGGCCAGAAGUUCCAUUUGGCUUACGCGUUAGAACAAGACAGCGACUUGCAGGGAGGUGUGUGUGCAUUUUUAAUCCUCCUAAUUGCUUUCAGAAGUGGAUCGUCUCGACAUACUUCUCACCAACCUUUUUCCUGAUCCAGUAGG